GUCGCCGACGCCGUGACUGACGUUUACACCAAGCACCACAAUGGUCAAAGUGCUAGGACAUGAUCUGUUUAUUAUAUCUGGCAAGUGUGUGCGUGUGUGUGUGUGUGUGUGUGUGUGUGUGUGUGUGUAACAGGAUCUAAUAUAAACCCUGUUCAGGUCAAUAUCCACACUGAUAGAACACGAGUGUCCUGUCAGUACAGCGGUUUACAGCUGUUACAGUUUCCCCCGACGGUUCGUGAGUUCUGGAUUGUGAUUGGUCAGAACCGGAGGCCUUGAUUCAUUUUCUAUAACAGCAGCUCUGACGACUUCAGGAAAUAAACAGAUCAAACAUCAGCGGCUGAGAAACCAGGCCGUGCUCCAGGCGUGUCUUUAAAUCAUUCUACACCUGCUCCAGGCUCCCCAACGACCGCACCCCGCCACCGCACCCCGCCACCGCACCCCGCCACCGCACCGGGACCUCGCUCUCAACAGCGUUACCGUGGUUACGGGUACUGUCUAACUCCACCUGUCUGUCUCUCCCCCCACACACAGGAUGUCUGUGGGUCCACAAAGCUUCGUUCCUCAGUAUAAUCCCUGGAAGCCUCAGCCUCAGAUGGACGCCCUGGUCUCAGCUCUGUGGCAUGGCCUCUGUCCUGACACUAUAAUGAAAGACGAUUAUGAAUCAGUGCAUAUAUUUGCCCAGCUGUCCAAUCACAGGAAUGCAGUCAUGCAAACCAUGUAUACACACAUCUUCGAUCUGGUGAUUACACACCUGCCAGACAACAGAGACAGCAGGAACAGUAAGGGUGUGUUAUACAGCUUUCCCAGCAAUUAAUCCAUCUGGCACAAAUGUAAGUGGACCUU
This is a long non-coding RNA of Ictalurus punctatus (channel catfish), 843 nucleotides long. The record is from Ensembl. NCBI's taxonomy places the organism in Eukaryota, Metazoa, Chordata, Actinopteri, Siluriformes, Ictaluridae.